GCCACGGUAGCUCAGCCUGGUUAGAGAAACACUCGGCCACAGCGACGCCUUGGUAAGGCGUAGGUCGUGGGAUCGAAUCCCACCCGUGGCU
This 91-nucleotide transfer RNA is filed under the name Nitrososphaerota archaeon. Its description in RNAcentral is "Thaumarchaeota archaeon tRNA-Thr". It matches the Rfam family "tRNA". From Rfam's summary of the family: Transfer RNA (tRNA) molecules are approximately 80 nucleotides in length. Their secondary structure includes four short double-helical elements and three loops (D, anti-codon, and T loops). The record is from RNAcentral. RNAcentral also lists the same sequence under 1 other name. Lineage: Archaea; Thermoproteati; Nitrososphaerota.